UGUGCAAUGUAUAGUAUGGACG
RNAcentral lists this microRNA (22 nucleotides) under Oreochromis niloticus (Nile tilapia). RNAcentral's name for it is "oni-miR-10812". Lineage: Eukaryota; Metazoa; Chordata; Actinopteri; Cichliformes; Cichlidae. The record is from miRBase by way of RNAcentral.